Molecule: ribosomal RNA, 253 nt
Filed under: uncultured bacterium
Lineage: Bacteria
Description: partial 16S ribosomal RNA
Rfam family: Bacterial small subunit ribosomal RNA
Source: RNAcentral
UACGAAGGGGGCUAGCGUUGUUCGGAAUUACUGGGCGUAAAGCGCACGUAGGCGGACAUUUAAGUCAGGGGUGAAAUCCCAGAGCUCAACUCUGGAACUGCCUUUGAUACUGGGUGUCUUGAGUAUGGAAGAGGUGAGUGGAAUUCCGAGUGUAGAGGUGAAAUUCGUAGAUAUUCGGAGGAACACCAGUGGCGAAGGCGGCUCACUGGUCCAUUACUGACGCUGAGACACGAAAGCCAGGGGAGCGAACGGG